AGUGAACGCUGGCGGUAGGCCUAACACAUGCAAGUCGAACGGCAGCACAGUAAGGGCUUGCUCUUACGGGUGGCGAGUGGCGGACGGGUGAGGAAUACAUCGGAAUCUACCUUUUCGUGGGGGAUAACGUAGGGAAACUUACGCUAAUACCGCAUACGACCUACGGGUGAAAGCAGGGGAUCUUCGGACCUUGCGCGAUUGAAUGAGCCGAUGUCGGAUUAGCUAGUUGGCGGGGUAAAGGCCCACCAAGGCGACGAUCCGUAGCUGGUCUGAGAGGAUGAUCAGCCACACUGGAACUGAGACACGGUCCAGACUCCUACGGGAGGCAGCAGUGGGGAAUAUUGGACAAUGGGCGCAAGCCUGAUCCAGCCAUACCGCGUGGGUGAAGAAGGCCUUCGGGUUGUAAAGCCCUUUUGUUGGGAAAGAAAAGCAGCAGGUUAAUACCCCGCUGUUCUGACGGUACCCAAAGAAUAAGCACCGGCUAACUUCGUG
RNAcentral lists this ribosomal RNA (492 nucleotides) under uncultured bacterium. RNAcentral's name for it is "partial 16S ribosomal RNA". It matches the Rfam family "Bacterial small subunit ribosomal RNA", at positions 29 to 507 of the family's 1533-position model. The record is from RNAcentral.